Bos grunniens (domestic yak) is the source of this 4019-nucleotide long non-coding RNA. Lineage: Eukaryota; Metazoa; Chordata; Mammalia; Artiodactyla; Bovidae. The record is from Ensembl.
CCCGGGGGAGCCUGACCCUCAGCGCCUCGCCGCCCAGCCACCCAGAGAUGCUGGAGCUGCCGCGGGUGCUCACAGGAGACGAAGGGGAGUUCACCUGCCGAGCUCAGCACGCCCUCGGCUCCCAGCACGUCUCCCUGAGGCUCUCGCUGCAGAGGCAGUCAGCGCGCCCGGCAGAGGCGGUCCUGGUAGCCAUCUGGGAAGCGGCUGUCAAGACCCUGCUCCUCCUCCUCUGUCUCCUGGGCCUCCUAGUGAGGUGCUGCACAAGGACUUCAGCCAGGCCAGCAGGGGGCGUGUCAGAGGCAAAGGAAACCCCCCCUUUAACCCCUCAGCACAGCUCAUCUUGAAGCCCAUCUCCUCCCGGUCCUGACCCUGGUCCUUCCAGCAGCCUCAUCUCUUCCCUGAGUCGCUGAACCCAUGCAUCUCCUGCUUCCUCUCGCUGGGAAGCAUGGCCCUCGGGUCAGAGGACUCACCAGAGACGGUUCCGUCCACUGCCUGCACAGUCAGAGCAGCUCUGUUUCCUCCCCACCCAGGGGAUGGAGUGGCCCACACCACAGGCUGGAUUGGAAGUCCUGGCGGGCUCUGCCCUGCUGACUCUCCACCCAGAGUUUCUGUCUGGGAUGAUGAAAGCAUUCUGGAAAUGGACAGUGGUGAUGGUUUCACUAACAUGGUGAUGUACUUAACUGCCACUCAGGUGUAACACGUGGUUAUUUAGUUGCUGAGUCAUGUCCAUUUUCUUCAAGGCCAUGGAUUGUAGCCCGCCAGGCUCCUCAGCCCAUGGGUUUUCCCCAGGCAAGAAUGCUGCAGUGGGUUGCCAUGUCCUUCUCCAGGGGAUCGUCCCCACCCAGAAACUGAACCUGAGUUUCCUGCUUGGCAGGCAGAUUCUUUACCAUUGAGCUACCUGGGAAGCCCUAAAGUGUACUGUAUACAAUGUUAAAAAUGAUUUUUAUUUUAUGAGUAUUUUACUGAAAUAAAGCAAAAGGAAUGAGGAACACUUCCGUCUUCAUGGUGCUGUCAUUAUGUGGACAAGAAGUUUUUAAAAUAUAUUAUGAAUAAAAUUAGAGCGCAUCAGCUAAUCACACAUGUUUGGAGGAAAAUCACACAAGGAAAGGUGCAGGAUCUGAAUGGCUGUUUAGCUCAGAAUUAGCCAGAGAGGAUCCAGGGCAGCAAAAAAGAGAAGUGACAAGACUGGUGGGUACUCCAGGCAGAAGGUGAUGCUGCGAUGGACCAAGGAGGUCGUGUAGACAGGGAGGGUAUAUUUGGAUCUGUUGUGAAAGUCAAGCUAAUUUCUUUUUUAUUUUACCAUGCUUAUUUAUUUAUUUGCCCAGCCAGAUCUUAGUUGCAGCAUGUGGGAUCUUCAGUGACAGCAUGUGACUCUUAGUUACAGCCUGUGGGAUCUAGUUCCCUGACUGGGGUAUUGAGCCAGGCCUCCUGCCUAGGGAGCAGGGAGUCUUAGCCACUGGACCACCAGGGAAGUACCUGAAAUUUUUUAGUGGAGGUAAAUAUUUUAGUGGUGGUAAGUGAGGGAAAAAGAGGAGUGAAGAUGAUGUUGAAAUGUUUCUCCUGAACAACUGGGCAGGUGGAAUUGUGUUAUGUGGAGGGAUUCAGGGGCUUCCCUGGUAGCUCAGUUGGUAAAAAAUCCACCUGCAAUGCAGAAGACCCUGGCUCGAUUCCUGGGUCGGGAAGAUCCGCUGGAGAAGGGAUAGGCUACCCAUUCCAGUAUUCUUGGACUUCCUUUGUGGCUCAGCUGGUAAAGAAUCUGCCUGCAAUGCGGGAGACCUGGGUUCGAUCCCUGGGUUGGGAAGAUCCCCUGGAGAAGGGGAAGGCUACCCACUCCAGUAUUCUGGCCUGGAGAAUUCCAUGGACUGUAUAAGACUUCAGAGAGUAGGGAUUCGAAAUGCAAUGUUUUUUUUCUGAGAAGCCCCUUGAUAUGCACCUGUGAUGCCAGGGAGUGAGCUGGACAGGAAUGUCUGGAGAUCAGGAGAGGGCUCCAAGACAGAGACCUUCAAAUGUAUAGUUAAGAUAAGAUGAUCACAGAUGAGAUAAAAGGAAAAGGGGGUGUGGGUUGGUGGAAUGAUAAGGGAACAGUACUCCUCAAAAAUUAAAAAUGGAAUGAACAUCUGAUUCAUUAAUUUUACUUCUGAUAUCCAUCAAAGAGAACUGGGAUCAGGGGCUCUCAGAGACAUUUGCACAUAGGUCUCAGAGAUACUGCCAUGUUCACAAUAGCCAAGUGAUGUAAGUGACCCAAGUGCCCAUCAACAGUUGAACAGACAGACAAAAUCAUGGAAUGUUACUCAGCCUGAAAAGCGAAGGAAUUUCUGAUACAUGCUAGCACACGGAUGAACUAAGGAAAUUAUGUAAGUUGGAUAACCAUAUAUGAUUCCGCUUACACGAGGUACCUAAUGUAGUCAAAUUCCUAGAGAUAGAAAAUAAAACUGUGGUCACCAGGAGAUGUGAGGAAAAAGGAAUCUGGAUUUGGUAUUUAGAGUUUCGACGUUUUCAUCUUCAAAACAGUUAUCUUUCUUUAUCACUGGAUUAAAAAAUAAAACCAUCAGUUCAAUUCAAUUGCUCAGUCAUUUGAGCUCUUUGCAAUCCCAUGGACUGCAGCACACCAGGCUUCCCUGUCCAUCAUCAAGUCCCGGAGCUUGCUCAGACUCAUGUCCAUUGAGUCGGUGAUGCCAUCCAACCACCUCAUCCUCUGUUGUCCCCUUCUCCUCCUGCCCUCAAUUUUUCCCAGCAUCAGGAUCUCUUCCUGUGAGUCAGUUCUUUGCAUCAGGUGGCCAAAGUAUUGCAGCUUCAGCUUCAGCAUCAGUCCUUCCAAUGAAUAUUCAGGACUGAUUUCCUUUACGAUUGACUGGAUUGAUCUCUUUGAAGUACAAGGGACUCUCUACACCUCAACACGUUUUCUCUAACACCACAGUUCAAAAGCAUGAAUUCUUUGGUGCUCAGAUUUCUUUAUGGUCCAACUCUCACAUCCAUACAUGACUACUGGAAAAACCAUAGCUUUGACUAGAUGGACCUUUGUCAGCAAAGUAAUGUCUCUGCUAUUUAAUAUGCUGUCUAGGUUGGCCAUAGCUUUUCUUCCAAGGGUCAAGUGUCUUUUAAUUUCAUGGCUGCAGUCACCAUCUGAAUUAAUUUUGGAGCCCAAGAAAACAAAGUCUCUCACUGUUCCCAUUGUUUCCCCAUCUAUUUGCUGAGAAGUGAUGGGACCAGAUGCCAUGAUCUCAGUUUUUUGAAUGUUGAGUUUUAAGUCAGCUUUUUCACUCUCCUCUUUCACUUUCAUCAACAAUCUCUUUAGUUCCUCUUCGAUUUCUGCCAUAAAGGUAGUGUCAUCUGCAUAUUUGAGGUUAUUGAUAUUUUUCCCAGCAAUCUUGAUUCCAGCUCGUGCUUCAUCCAGCCUGGCAUUUCGUUUGAAUGAUGUACUCUGCAUAGAAGGUAAAUAAGCAGGGUGACAAUAUACAGCCUUGAUGUACUCCUUUCCCAAUUCGGAACCAGUCCCUUUUUCCAUUUCAGGUCCUAACUGUUGCUUGUUGACCUACAUACAGAUUUCUCAGAAGGCAGGUACUCAUUAAAAAAAAAAAAACUUCCCAAAAUGCUGCUGGGACACACAGCAAUAUCACCUGUGACACGUCUCAGAGCAGUGCUGUGUGUCGGGGGAGAAAGUGAGGGCCCGGGUAGGGGGCAUCUCUCCGGCCAGGACCAGGUGAGUCGUAUCCCUUCUGGUCUCCAGGUCACCAUCCAGAGACGCUCACUGCUGGGGAUGCGUGAAUGGGUGGCUGGCUGCUGCCUUCACUCCACCCAGGAGCCCCUUCUUGUCUUCUGCUCCAGACACUCCCACAGACCGUAAAGAGCCCUGCAUCUCACAGGAAUGACCACCCAAGGGUCUCCGUGAGGCUGUGACUCUCCAGGUCAAGAGUGGAGUUGAGCAGCGCCCUGGUGUAGACAGCCGAGCUCAGAUGGGAGAACCUUAGAAGGCCGCCUGAGUCCCAGCCCUCCGUGCCCUCACAGGUCUGAGCUCUGGU